UGGGGAAUAUUGGGCAAUGGGCGAAAGCCUGACCCAGCAACGCCGCGUGAGGGAAGAAGGUCUUCGGAUUGUAAACCUCUGUCCUUGGGGACGAAAAAAAUGACGGUACCCAAGGAGGAAGCCCCGGCUAACUACGUGCCAGCAGCCGCGGUAAUACGUAGGGGGCGAGCGUUGUCCGGAAUUACUGGGCGUAAAGGGUGCGUAGGCGGUUGCCUAAGUCAGAUGUGAAAUCCCCGGGCUUAACUCGGGUGGUGCAUUUGAAACUGGGGAACUAGAGUGCAGGAGAGGGAAGCGGAAUUCCUAGUGUAGCGGUGAAAUGCGUAGAUAUUAGGAGGAACACCAGUGGCGAAGGCGGCUUUCUGGACUGUAACUGACGCUGAGGCACGAAAGCGUGGGGAGCAAACA
Molecule: ribosomal RNA, 405 nt
Filed under: uncultured prokaryote
Description: bacterial SSU rRNA
Rfam family: Bacterial small subunit ribosomal RNA
Source: RNAcentral